Molecule: small nucleolar RNA, 107 nt
Organism: Rhododendron vialii
Lineage: Eukaryota; Viridiplantae; Streptophyta; Magnoliopsida; Ericales; Ericaceae
Product: small nucleolar RNA snoR100
Exons: 1
Source: RefSeq, a predicted model, not a curated record
CAAUGAAGAAAGCAUGGUAAUAUGCACAAAAUUUGAAUUGGGUCUCUAGGUCUGUCCUCUCUGAUGUCAUUUGGCUUUAUUUGGGGGCAUGGUUCCGCAGCAAAACA